Molecule: ribosomal RNA, 253 nt
Filed under: uncultured bacterium
Lineage: Bacteria
Description: partial 16S ribosomal RNA
Rfam family: Bacterial small subunit ribosomal RNA
Source: RNAcentral
UACGUAGGGUGCGAGCGUUAAUCGGAAUUACUGGGCGUAAAGCGUGCGCAGGCGGCUUCUUAAGCCAGAUGUGAAAUCCCCGGGCUCAACCUGGGAACUGCAUUUGGGACUGGGAGGCUUGAGUGUGGCAGAGGGGGGUAGAAUUCCCGGUGUAGCAGUGAAAUGCGUAGAUAUCGGGAGGAAUACCGAUGGCGAAGGCAGCCCCCUGGGCUAACACUGACGCUCAUGCACGAAAGCGUGGGGAGCAAACAGG